This 481-nucleotide ribosomal RNA is filed under the name uncultured bacterium. Its description in RNAcentral is "partial 16S ribosomal RNA". It matches the Rfam family "Bacterial small subunit ribosomal RNA", at positions 28 to 507 of the family's 1533-position model. The record is from RNAcentral.
GAUGAACGCUGGCGGCGUGCUUAACACAUGCAAGUCGAACGAAGCACUUUAUUUGAUUUCCUUCGGGACUGAUUAUUUUGUGGCUGAGUGGCGGACGGGUGAGUAACGCGUGGGUAACCUGCCUUGUACAGGGGGAUAACAGUUGGAAACGGCUGCUAAUACCGCAUAAGCGCACGGCAUCGCAUGAUGCAGUGUGAAAAACUCCGGUGGUAUAAGAUGGACCCGCGUUGGAUUAGCUAGUUGGUGAGGUAACGGCCCACCAAGGCGACGAUCCAUAGCCGACCUGAGAGGGUGACCGGCCACAUUGGGACUGAGACACGGCCCAAACUCCUACGGGAGGCAGCAGUGGGGAAUAUUGCACAAUGGGCGAAAGCCUGAUGCAGCGACGCCGCGUGAGCGAAGAAGUAUUUCGGUAUGUAAAGCUCUAUCAGCAGGGAAGAUAAUGACGGUACCUGACUAAGAAGCACCGGCUAAAUACGUG